UGGGUUCGGGUAUUAUGCCCAGGU
Molecule: non-coding RNA, 24 nt
Filed under: Arabidopsis thaliana (thale cress)
Lineage: Eukaryota; Viridiplantae; Streptophyta; Magnoliopsida; Brassicales; Brassicaceae
Source: RNAcentral